This 448-nucleotide ribosomal RNA is filed under the name Neisseria sp. oral taxon 523. Its description in RNAcentral is "bacterial SSU rRNA". It matches the Rfam family "Bacterial small subunit ribosomal RNA", at positions 30 to 473 of the family's 1533-position model. Lineage: Bacteria; Pseudomonadati; Pseudomonadota; Betaproteobacteria; Neisseriales; Neisseriaceae. The record is from RNAcentral.
AUUGAACGCUGGCGGCAUGCUUUACACAUGCAAGUCGAACGGCAGCAUAGGUGCUUGCACCUGAUGGCGAGUGGCGAACGGGUGAGUAACAUAUUGGAACGUACCGAGUAGUGGGGGAUAACUAAUCGAAAGAUUGGCUAAUACCGCAUACGCUUUGAGAAGGAAAGUAGGGGAUCGCAAGACCUUACGCUAUUUGAGCGGCCAAUAUCGGAUUAGCUAGUUGGUGGGGUAAAGGCCUACCAAGGCGACGAUCCGUAGCGGGUCUGAGAGGACGAUCCGCCACAUUGGGACUGAGACACGGCCCAAACUCCUACGGGAGGCAGCAGUGGGGAAUUUUGGACAAUGGGGGCAACCCUGAUCCAGCCAUGCCGCGUGUCUGAAGAAGGCCUUCGGGUUGUAAAGGACUUUUGUUAGGGAAGAAAAGAUACUUGAUAAUACCAAGUAUUGC